AAUAGAUCACACCGUUGACUUUUUCUCACAUGUUUGAUCAUUCGUCUUAUUCAAAAAAUUUACGUAAUUAUAAUUUAUUUUGUUAUGAGUUGUUUUAUCACUCAUAGUACUUUAAGUGUGAUUUAUAUCUUAUACAUUUGUAUAAAAAUUUUAAAUAAGACGAAUAGUCAAACAUGUGAGAAAAAGUCAACUGUGUCAUCUAUU
This 204-nucleotide microRNA precursor is filed under the name Oryza glumipatula. RNAcentral describes it as "MIR812 microRNA precursor family". It matches the Rfam family "MIR812 microRNA precursor family". Lineage: Eukaryota; Viridiplantae; Streptophyta; Magnoliopsida; Poales; Poaceae. The record is from Rfam by way of RNAcentral.